This 58-nucleotide transfer RNA is filed under the name Ophiophagus hannah (king cobra). It matches the Rfam family "tRNA", at positions 8 to 63 of the family's 71-position model. Rfam says of the family: Transfer RNA (tRNA) molecules are approximately 80 nucleotides in length. Their secondary structure includes four short double-helical elements and three loops (D, anti-codon, and T loops). The record is from Rfam by way of RNAcentral. Lineage: Eukaryota; Metazoa; Chordata; Lepidosauria; Squamata; Elapidae.
UGGUCUAGUGGGUAAGACACCAGGCUAGAAACCAGGAAAUUGUGAGUUCUAGUCCCAC